Amblyraja radiata (thorny skate) is the source of this 125-nucleotide long non-coding RNA. RefSeq lists it as uncharacterized. The transcript has 3 exons. The record is from RefSeq and is a predicted model, not a curated record. NCBI's taxonomy places the organism in Eukaryota, Metazoa, Chordata, Chondrichthyes, Rajiformes, Rajidae.
GUAGAUUUGUUUAAAGUUUCUGUUGAAUGUAGGCGUAUUUAUACAGCGUUUGUAAGCGUGGAGAGAUCAGAUCAUAAUUUUUAAAAUAAAAUUCAGAACUUAGGCCAUCAGGACCUGCGGCCUUU